Molecule: transfer RNA, 68 nt
Filed under: Camelus dromedarius (Arabian camel)
Lineage: Eukaryota; Metazoa; Chordata; Mammalia; Artiodactyla; Camelidae
Also listed under: 1 other name
Rfam family: tRNA
About the family: Transfer RNA (tRNA) molecules are approximately 80 nucleotides in length. Their secondary structure includes four short double-helical elements and three loops (D, anti-codon, and T loops).
Source: Rfam by way of RNAcentral
GAGGGUAUAGCCUAGUGGUAGAAGGCUUAGCGUACAUGAGGUCCUGGGUUCAAUCCCCAGUAAUUCCA